Molecule: ribosomal RNA, 679 nt
Filed under: Pseudoalteromonas agarivorans
Lineage: Bacteria; Pseudomonadati; Pseudomonadota; Gammaproteobacteria; Alteromonadales; Pseudoalteromonadaceae
Description: partial 23S ribosomal RNA
Rfam family: Bacterial large subunit ribosomal RNA
Source: RNAcentral
GAACCAGUACCGUGAGGGAAAGGCGAAAAGAACCCCUGUGAGGGGAGUGAAAUAGAACCUGAAACCGUGUACGUACAAGCAGUAGGAGCCUACUUGUUAGGUGACUGCGUACCUUUUGUAUAAUGGGUCAGCGACUUAUAUUUUGUAGCGAGGUUAACCGAUUAGGGUAGCCGUAGGGAAACCGAGUCUUAACUGGGCGAAUAGUUGCAAGGUAUAGACCCGAAACCCGGUGAUCUAGCCAUGGGCAGGUUGAAGGUUGAGUAACAUCAACUGGAGGACCGAACCCACUAACGUUGAAAAGUUAGGGGAUGACCUGUGGCUAGGAGUGAAAGGCUAAUCAAACCGGGAGAUAGCUGGUUCUCCCCGAAAUCUAUUUAGGUAGAGCCUCGGACGAAUACUUACGGGGGUAGAGCACUGUUAAGGCUAGGGGGUCAUCCCGACUUACCAACCCUUUGCAAACUCCGAAUACCGUAAAGUACUAUCCGGGAGACACACGGCGGGUGCUAACGUCCGUCGUGAAGAGGGAAACAACCCAGACCGCCAGCUAAGGUCCCAAAGUCAUAGUUAAGUGGGAAACGAUGUGGAAAGGCCCAGACAGCCAGGAGGUUGGCUUAGAAGCAGCCAUCCUUUAAAGAAAGCGUAAUAGCUCACUGGUCGAGUCGGUCUGCGCGGAAGAUGU